RNAcentral lists this unclassified non-coding RNA (430 nucleotides) under Amelanchier sanguinea. RNAcentral's name for it is "partial external transcribed spacer". The record is from RNAcentral. Lineage: Eukaryota; Viridiplantae; Streptophyta; Magnoliopsida; Rosales; Rosaceae.
GGUGAUGGAUUUNNCUNAAUGCGACGGCGUAUGAGUGGUAAUUGGGUUGUAUUCGACGGCAGGCUCCGUGCUUCGGCAUCGAACUGUCGGCUCGUACCCCGCUUCAUUGAUGCAUCAAGAUUCGUCUUGUGCGCAAGAUGGGUUUCUGUUUUGGCUACCUAUUGUGAAGGAAUGCUGCCUCUCGUCGUCCCUUUCCUCCUCUCGCUGGCCUUACCGGCGGGAGGACGACAUUGUAGCGAUACUCGUGUCCCGGACGAGCCACACUCGUUGUGGUGCAGUUUCGGUACUCGAGUUUUUGCUCGACAUCUCGGGUGCGGAACACUGNAAGGGGCGGUGGGUCUUUACGGCCUCCGAUCGUCCAAUCGAAGCCUUGUCGCUUGACGUGCACGACUGUCGCGCCCGUUGCGAGUCGUCGACCGCCAAGGUCGUC